UGGGGAAUAUUGGACAAUGGGCGAAAGCCUGAUCCAGCCAUGCCGCGUGUGUGAAGAAGGUCUUCGGAUUGUAAAGCACUUUAAGUUGGGAGGAAGGGCAUUAACCUAAUACGUUAGUGUUUUGACGUUACCGACAGAAUAAGCACCGGCUAACUCUGUGCCAGCAGCCGCGGUAAUACAGAGGGUGCAAGCGUUAAUCGGAAUUACUGGGCGUAAAGCGCGCGUAGGUGGGUUGUUAAGUUGGAUGUGAAAUCCCCGGGCUCAACCUGGGAACUGCAUUCAAAACUGACUGACUAGAGUAUGGUAGAGGGUGGUGGAAUUUCCUGUGUAGCGGUGAAAUGCGUAGAUAUAGGAAGGAACACCAGUGGCGAAGGCGACCACCUGGACUAAUACUGACACUGAGGUGCGAAAGCGUGGGGAGCAAACA
RNAcentral lists this ribosomal RNA (427 nucleotides) under uncultured bacterium. RNAcentral's name for it is "partial 16S ribosomal RNA". It matches the Rfam family "Bacterial small subunit ribosomal RNA", at positions 355 to 774 of the family's 1533-position model. The record is from RNAcentral.